RNAcentral lists this ribosomal RNA (229 nucleotides) under uncultured bacterium. RNAcentral describes it as "partial 16S ribosomal RNA". It matches the Rfam family "Bacterial small subunit ribosomal RNA", at positions 104 to 334 of the family's 1533-position model. The record is from RNAcentral.
CGGGGUGAGUAAUGUAUGGGGAUCUGCCUGAUGGCGGGGGAUAACUACUGGAAACGGUAGCUAAUACCGCAUAAUGUCUGCGGACCAAAGAGGGGGACCUUCGGGCCUCUUGCCAUCGGAUGUGCCCAGAUGGGAUUAGCUAGUAGGUAAGGUAACGGCUUACCUAGGCGACGAUCCCUAGCUGGUCUGAGAGGAUGAUCAGCCACACUGGGACUGAGACACGGCCCAG